UGAAAGUCCUUCGGGAUGAGUAAAGCGGCGCACGGGCUGAGUAAUACAUAGGAACGUACCUUCCAGGUGGGGAAUAACCACGGGAAACUGUGGCUAACACCGCAUGGUCUCGAGAGAGUAAAGCAGGCCUCUAUUUAUAAGCUUGCGCUGGAAGAGCGGCCUAUGUCCCAUUAGCUAGUUGGUAGGGUAAUGGCCUACCAAGGCGACGAUGGGUAGCUGGUCUGAGAGGAUGAUCAGCCACACUGGGACUGAGACACGGCCCAGACUCCUACGGGAGGCAGCAGUAGGGAAUUUUGCACAAUGGGCGCAAGCCUGAUGCAGCAAUGCCGCGUGAGUGAAGAAGGCUCUUGGGUUGUAAAGCUCUUUCGGCUGGGAAGAUGGGACUGCCUGCGAACAGUUGGCAGUUUUGACGGUACCAGAAGAAGAAGCACCUGCUAACUACGUGCCAGCAGCAGCGGUAAUACGUAGGGUGCAAGCGUUGUUCGGAAUUACUGGGCGUAAAGCGCGCGUAGGCGGGUUAGAAAGUCGAUUGUGAAAGCCCUGGGCUUACCUGGGAACUGCAGUCGAAACUCCUAAUCUUGAGUGCCUGAGAGGAUGGCGGAAUUCCCGGUGUAGUAGUGAAAU
Molecule: ribosomal RNA, 624 nt
Filed under: uncultured bacterium
Lineage: Bacteria
Description: bacterial SSU rRNA
Rfam family: Bacterial small subunit ribosomal RNA
Source: RNAcentral